RNAcentral lists this ribosomal RNA (1669 nucleotides) under Glaesserella parasuis. Its description in RNAcentral is "partial 23S ribosomal RNA". It matches the Rfam family "Bacterial large subunit ribosomal RNA", at positions 1286 to 2925 of the family's 2925-position model. The record is from RNAcentral. Lineage: Bacteria; Pseudomonadati; Pseudomonadota; Gammaproteobacteria; Pasteurellales; Pasteurellaceae.
AAGUGCGAAUGCUGACAUAAGUAACGAUAAAACGAGUGAAAAACUCGUUCGCCGGAAGACCAAGGGUUCCUGUCCAACGUUAAUCGGGGCAGGGUGAGUCGGCCCCUAAGGCGAGGCUGAAAAGCGUAGUCGAUGGGAAACGGGUUAAUAUUCCCGUACUUGGUAAAGCUGCGAUGUGGGGACGGAGAAGGUUAGGUUAGCAGACUGUUGGAUGUCUGUUUAAGUUGGUAGGUGGGGAGUUUAGGCAAAUCCGGACUUCCAUAACACUGAGAGAUGAUGACGAGUUUCUACGGAAAUGAAGUAACUGAUACCACGCUUCCAGGAAAAGCCACUAAGCGAAAGGCUUUACUAAACCGUACUGAAAACCGACACAGGUGGUCAGGUAGAGAAUACUCAGGCGCUUGAGAGAACUCGGGUGAAGGAACUAGGCAAAAUAGCACCGUAACUUCGGGAGAAGGUGUGCUGGCGUAGGUUGUAAGAGUAUACCUCCGAAGGCUGAACCAGUCGAAGAUACCAGCUGGCUGCAACUGUUUAUUAAAAACACAGCACUCUGCAAACACGAAAGUGGACGUAUAGGGUGUGAUGCCUGCCCGGUGCUGGAAGGUUAAUUGAUGGUGUUAUCGAAAGAGAAGCUCCUGAUCGAAGCCCCAGUAAACGGCGGCCGUAACUAUAACGGUCCUAAGGUAGCGAAAUUCCUUGUCGGGUAAGUUCCGACCUGCACGAAUGGCAUAAUGAUGGCCAGGCUGUCUCCACCCGAGACUCAGUGAAAUUGAAAUCGCCGUGAAGAUGCGGUGUACCCGCGGCUAGACGGAAAGACCCCGUGAACCUUUACUAUAGCUUGACACUGAACAUUGAAUUUUGAUGUGUAGGAUAGGUGGGAGACUUAGAAGCAGGCACGCCAGUGCUUGUGGAGUCGUCCUUGAAAUACCACCCUUUAACGUUUGAUGUUCUAACGAAGAUUACGAAACGUGGUCUCGGACAGUGUCUGGUGGGUAGUUUGACUGGGGCGGUCUCCUCCCAAAGUGUAACGGAGGAGCACGAAGGUUUGCUAAUCACGGUCGGACAUCGUGAGGUUAGUGCAAUGGUAUAAGCAAGCUUAACUGCGAGACAGACAAGUCGAGCAGGUGCGAAAGCAGGUCAUAGUGAUCCGGUGGUUCUGAAUGGAAGGGCCAUCGCUCAACGGAUAAAAGGUACUCCGGGGAUAACAGGCUGAUACCGCCCAAGAGUUCAUAUCGACGGCGGUGUUUGGCACCUCGAUGUCGGCUCAUCACAUCCUGGGGCUGAAGUAGGUCCCAAGGGUAUGGCUGUUCGCCAUUUAAAGUGGUACGCGAGCUGGGUUUAGAACGUCGUGAGACAGUUCGGUCCCUAUCUGCCGUGGGCGUUGGAGAAUUGAGAGGGGCUGCUCCUAGUACGAGAGGACCGGAGUGGACGCAUCACUGGUGUACCAGUUGUCUCGCCAGAGGCAUUGCUGGGUAGCUAAAUGCGGAAGAGAUAAGUGCUGAAAGCAUCUAAGCACGAAACUCGCCUUAAGAUGAGUUCUCCCUAGCUAUAAGCUAGUAAGGGUUGUUGAAGACUACGACGUAGAUAGGUCUGGUGUGUAAGCGGUGUGAGCCGUUGAGCUAACAGAUACUAAUUGCCCGAGAGGCUUAACUAUACAACCUCAAGCGUU